RNAcentral lists this ribosomal RNA (1024 nucleotides) under Cohnella fermenti. RNAcentral's name for it is "Cohnella sp. CC-MHH1044 partial 23S ribosomal RNA". It matches the Rfam family "Bacterial large subunit ribosomal RNA", at positions 1 to 1015 of the family's 2925-position model. Lineage: Bacteria; Bacillati; Bacillota; Bacilli; Caryophanales; Paenibacillaceae. The record is from RNAcentral.
GUGGUUAAGCUAAUAAGGGCGCACGGAGGAUGCCUAGGCGCCAGGAGCUGAAGAAGGACGCGGCGAACAGCGAAAUUGCCUCGGGGAGCCGUAAGCAGGCGUUGAUCCGGGGAUGUCCGAAUGGGGAAACCCGGCUGGAGUAAUGUCCAGUCACCCAUCACUGAAUCCAUAGGUGAUGAGGGAGCACACCAGGGGAACUGAAACAUCUAAGUACCCUGAGGAAGAGAAAACAACAGUGAUUCCGUCAGUAGCGGCGAGCGAAAGCGGAUUAGCCCAAACCAGGGAGCUUGCUCCCUGGGGUUGUGGGACGUCUCACAUGGAGUGAGAAAAGAGCAGGUUAGGCGAAGAGGUCUGGAAAGGCCCGGCAUAGAAGGUAAAAGCCCUGUAGCCGAAAGCCUGCUCCCUCCGAGACGGAUCCCGAGUACCGCGGGACACGUGAAACCCCGUGGGAAUCCGGCAGGACCAUCUGCCAAGGCUAAAUACUCCCUGGCGACCGAUAGCGAAGCAGUACCGUGAGGGAAAGGUGAAAAGCACCGCGGGAGCGGAGUGAAACAGAACCUGAAACCGUGCGCUUACAAGAAGUCAGAGCCCGAUCUAGGGGUGAUGGCGUGCCUUUUGUAGAAUGAACCGGCGAGUUACGUUUACGUGCGAGGUUAAGUCGGAGAGACGGAGCCGCAGCGAAAGCGAGUCUGAAUAGGGCGCUUUAGUACGUAGGCGUAGACCCGAAACCGGGUGAUCUACCCCUGUGCAGGGUGAAGGUGCGGUAACACGCACUGGAGGCCCGAACUCACAAGCGUUGAAAAGCUUGGGGAUGACGUGGGGGUAGGGGAGAAAUUCCAAUCGAACUCGGAGAUAGCUGGUUCUCCCCGAAAUAGCUUUAGGGCUAGCCUCGAGGUUAGCAUCAUGGAGGUAGAGCACUGAUUGGGUGCGGGGCCCGCCAAGGGUUACCAAGUCCAGUCAAACUCCGAAUGCCAUGCAUGUAUACUCGGGAGUCAGACAGCGAGUGCUAAGAUCCGUUGUCAAG